AGGCCUAACACAUGCAAGUCGAACGGUAACAGGAAGCAGCUUGCUGCUUCGCUGACGAGUGGCGGACGGGUGAGUAAUGUCUGGGAAACUGCCUGAUGGAGGGGGAUAACUACUGGAAACGGUGGCUAAUACCGCAUAACGUCGCAAGACCAAAGAGGGGGACCUUCGGGCCUCUUGCCAUCAGAUGUGCCCAGAUGGGAUUAGCUAGUUGGUGAGGUAACGGCUCACCAAGGCGACGAUCCCUAGCUGGUCUGAGAGGAUGACCAGCCACACUGGAACUGAGACACGGUCCAGACUCCUACGGGAGGCAGCAGUGGGGAAUAUUGCACAAUGGGCGCAAGCCUGAUGCAGCCAUGCCGCGUGUAUGAAGAAGGCCUUCGGGUUGUAAAGUACUUUCAGCGGGGAGGAAGGUGUUGUGGUUAAUAACCGCAGCAAUUGACGUUACCCGCAGAAGAAGCACCGGCUAACUCCGUGCCAGCAGCCGCGGUAAUACGGAGGGUGCAAGCGUUAAUCGGAAUUACUGGGCGUAAAGCGCACGCAGGCGGUCUGUCAAGUCGGAUGUGAAAUCCCCGGGCUCAACCUGGGAACUGCAUUCGAAACUGGCAGGCUUGAGUCUUGUAGAGGGGGGUAGAAUUCCAGGUGUAGCGGUGAAAUGCGUAGAGAUCUGGAGGAAUACCGGUGGCGAAGGCGGCCCCCUGGACAAAGACUGACGCUCAGGUGCGAAAGCGUGGGGAGCAAACAGGAUUAGAUACCCUGGUAGUCCACGCCGUAAACGAUGUCUACUUGGAGGUUGUGCCCUUGAGGCGUGGCUUCCGGAGCUAACGCGUUAAGUAGACCGCCUGGGGAGUACGGCCGCAAGGUUAAAACUCAAAUGAAUUGACGGGGGCCCGCACAAGCGGUGGAGCAUGUGGUUUAAUUCGAUGCAACGCGAAGAACCUUACCUGGUCUUGACAUCCACAGAACUUUCCAGAGAUGGAUUGGUGCCUUCGGGAACUGUGAGACAGGUGCUGCAUGGCUGUCGUCAGCUCGUGUUGUGAAAUGUUGGGUUAAGUCCCGCAACGAGCGCAACCCUUAUCCUUUGUUGCCAGCGGUUAGGCCGGGAACUCAAAGGAGACUGCCAGUGAUAAACUGGAGGAAGGUGGGGAUGACGUCAAGUCAUCAUGGCCCUUACGACCAGGGCUACACACGUGCUACAAUGGCGCAUACAAAGAGAAGCGACCUCGCGAGAGCAAGCGGACCUCAUAAAGUGCGUCGUAGUCCGGAUUGGAGUCUGCAACUCGACUCCAUGAAGUCGGAAUCGCUAGUAAUCGUGGAUCAGAAUGCCACGGUGAAUACGUUCCCGGGCCUUGUACACACCGCCCGUCACACCAUGGGAGUGGGUUGCAAAAGAAGUAGGUAGCUUAACCUUCGGGAGGGCGCUUACCACUUUGUGAUUCAUGACUGGGGUGAAGUCGUAACAAGGUAACCGUAGGGGAACCUGCGGUUGGAUCACCUCCUUACCUUAAAGAAGC
RNAcentral lists this ribosomal RNA (1511 nucleotides) under Salmonella enterica subsp. enterica serovar Thompson. RNAcentral describes it as "bacterial SSU rRNA". It matches the Rfam family "Bacterial small subunit ribosomal RNA". Lineage: Bacteria; Pseudomonadati; Pseudomonadota; Gammaproteobacteria; Enterobacterales; Enterobacteriaceae. The record is from RNAcentral.